Molecule: transfer RNA, 81 nt
Filed under: Amycolatopsis oliviviridis
Lineage: Bacteria; Bacillati; Actinomycetota; Actinomycetes; Pseudonocardiales; Pseudonocardiaceae
Description: tRNA-Ala
Source: RNAcentral
GGCGCCGCCGCCGCGGCGGCCCGUCCGGCGGCCUUGGCGCGGCCCCAUUUCUCCGGGCGUUCGGCGCGUUCCGGCGCCUCC